RNAcentral lists this ribosomal RNA (1527 nucleotides) under Klebsiella pneumoniae. RNAcentral describes it as "bacterial SSU rRNA". It matches the Rfam family "Bacterial small subunit ribosomal RNA". The record is from RNAcentral. Lineage: Bacteria; Pseudomonadati; Pseudomonadota; Gammaproteobacteria; Enterobacterales; Enterobacteriaceae.
AGAGUUUGAUCAUGGCUCAGAUUGAACGCUGGCGGCAGGCCUAACACAUGCAAGUCGAGCGGUAGCACAGAGAGCUUGCUCUCGGGUGACGAGCGGCGGACGGGUGAGUAAUGUCUGGGAAACUGCCUGAUGGAGGGGGAUAACUACUGGAAACGGUAGCUAAUACCGCAUAACGUCGCAAGACCAAAGUGGGGGACCUUCGGGCCUCAUGCCAUCAGAUGUGCCCAGAUGGGAUUAGCUAGUAGGUGGGGUAACGGCUCACCUAGGCGACGAUCCCUAGCUGGUCUGAGAGGAUGACCAGCCACACUGGAACUGAGACACGGUCCAGACUCCUACGGGAGGCAGCAGUGGGGAAUAUUGCACAAUGGGCGCAAGCCUGAUGCAGCCAUGCCGCGUGUGUGAAGAAGGCCUUCGGGUUGUAAAGCACUUUCAGCGGGGAGGAAGGCGUUAAGGUUAAUAACCUUGGCGAUUGACGUUACCCGCAGAAGAAGCACCGGCUAACUCCGUGCCAGCAGCCGCGGUAAUACGGAGGGUGCAAGCGUUAAUCGGAAUUACUGGGCGUAAAGCGCACGCAGGCGGUCUGUCAAGUCGGAUGUGAAAUCCCCGGGCUCAACCUGGGAACUGCAUUCGAAACUGGCAGGCUAGAGUCUUGUAGAGGGGGGUAGAAUUCCAGGUGUAGCGGUGAAAUGCGUAGAGAUCUGGAGGAAUACCGGUGGCGAAGGCGGCCCCCUGGACAAAGACUGACGCUCAGGUGCGAAAGCGUGGGAGCAAACAGGAUUAGAUACCCUGGUAGUCCACGCCGUAAACGAUGUCGAUUUGGAGGUUGUGCCCUUGAGGCGUGGCUUCCGGAGCUAACGCGUUAAAUCGACCGCCUGGGGAGUACGGCCGCAAGGUUAAAACUCAAAUGAAUUGACGGGGGCCCGCACAAGCGGUGGAGCAUGUGGUUUAAUUCGAUGCAACGCGAAGAACCUUACCUGGUCUUGACAUCCACAGAACUUUCCAGAGAUGGAUUGGUGCCUUCGGGAACUGUGAGACAGGUGCUGCAUGGCUGUCGUCAGCUCGUGUUGUGAAAUGUUGGGUUAAGUCCCGCAACGAGCGCAACCCUUAUCCUUUGUUGCCAGCGGUUCGGCCGGGAACUCAAAGGAGACUGCCAGUGAUAAACUGGAGGAAGGUGGGGAUGACGUCAAGUCAUCAUGGCCCUUACGACCAGGGCUACACACGUGCUACAAUGGCAUAUACAAAGAGAAGCGACCUCGCGAGAGCAAGCGGACCUCAUAAAGUAUGUCGUAGUCCGGAUUGGAGUCUGCAACUCGACUCCAUGAAGUCGGAAUCGCUAGUAAUCGUAGAUCAGAAUGCUACGGUGAAUACGUUCCCGGGCCUUGUACACACCGCCCGUCACACCAUGGGAGUGGGUUGCAAAAGAAGUAGGUAGCUUAACCUUCGGGAGGGCGCUUACCACUUUGUGAUUCAUGACUGGGGUGAAGUCGUAACAAGGUAACCGUAGGGGAACCUGCGGUUGGAUCACCU